RNAcentral lists this ribosomal RNA (331 nucleotides) under uncultured eukaryote. Its description in RNAcentral is "partial 18S ribosomal RNA". It matches the Rfam family "Eukaryotic small subunit ribosomal RNA", at positions 1470 to 1796 of the family's 1831-position model. The record is from RNAcentral.
CCCUUAGAUGUUCUGGGCCGCACGCGCGCUACACUGACGAAGUCAGCGAGCAUGUCCUACGCCGACAGGUGCGGGGAAUCUUGUCAAACUUCGUCGUGAUGGGGAUUGAUUUUUGAAAUUCUUGAUCAUAAACGAGGAAUUCCUAGUAAGCGCAAGUCAGCAGCUUGCGCUGAUUACGUCCCUGCCCUUUGUACACACCGCCCGUCGCUACUACCGAUUGAAUGGUUUAGUGAGAUCUUCGGAUUGGCGCCACUGCAGCUCAGCAAUGGGCUUGGUGGAUGCCGAAAAGUUGAUCAAACUUGAUCAUUUAGAGGAAGUAAAAGUCGUAACA